UACGAAGGGGGCUAGCGUUGUUCGGAUUUACUGGGCGUAAAGCGCACGUAGGCGGAUCGUUAAGUCGGGGGUGAAAUCCUGGAGCUCAACUCCAGAACUGCCCUCGAUACUGGCGAUCUCGAGUCCGGAAGAGGUGAGUGGAACUCCUAGUGUAGAGGUGGAAUUCGUAGAUAUUAGGAAGAACACCAGCGGCGAAGGCGACUCACUGGUCCGGUACUGACGCUGAGGUGCGAAAGCGUGGGGAGCAAACAGG
Molecule: ribosomal RNA, 253 nt
Filed under: uncultured bacterium
Lineage: Bacteria
Description: partial 16S ribosomal RNA
Rfam family: Bacterial small subunit ribosomal RNA
Source: RNAcentral